GACGAGCGCUGGCGGCGUGCCUAAUACAUGCAAGUCGAGCGGACGGAUGGGAGCUUGCUCCCAGACCGUCAGCGGCGGACGGGUGAGUAACACGUGGGCAACCUGCCUGUAAGACUGGGAUAACUCCGGGAAACCGGGGCUAAUACCGGAUAACUCUUUCCCUCACCUGAGGGAAAGCUGAAAGAUGGCAUCUCGCUAUCACUUACAGAUGGGCCCGCGGCGCAUUAGCUAGUUGGUGAGGUAACGGCUCACCAAGGCGACGAUGCGUAGCCGACCUGAGAGGGGGAUCGGCCACACUGGGACUGAGACACGGCCCAGACUCCUACGGGAGGCAGCAGUAGGGAAUCUUCCGCAAUGGACGAAAGUCUGACGGAGCAACGCCGCGUGAGUGAUGAAGGUUUUCGGAUCGUAAAACUCUGUUGUCAGGGAAGAACAAGUACCGGAGUAACUGCCGGUACCUUGACGGUACCUGACCAGAAAGCCACGGCUAACUACGUG
RNAcentral lists this ribosomal RNA (498 nucleotides) under uncultured bacterium. RNAcentral's name for it is "partial 16S ribosomal RNA". It matches the Rfam family "Bacterial small subunit ribosomal RNA", at positions 28 to 507 of the family's 1533-position model. The record is from RNAcentral.